This 496-nucleotide ribosomal RNA is filed under the name uncultured bacterium. RNAcentral describes it as "bacterial SSU rRNA". It matches the Rfam family "Bacterial small subunit ribosomal RNA", at positions 30 to 517 of the family's 1533-position model. The record is from RNAcentral.
AUUGAACGCUGGCGGCAGGCCUAACACAUGCAAGUCGAGCGGUAGAGAGGUGCUUGCAUCUCUUGAGAGCGGCGGACGGGUGAGUAAUGCCUAGGAAUCUGCCUAGUGGUGGGGGAUAACGUUCGGAAACGGACGCUAAUACCGCAUACGUCCUACGGGAGAAAGCGGGGGAUCUUCGGACCUCGCGCCAUUAGAUGAGCCUAGGUCGGAUUAGCUAGUUGGUGAGGUAAUGGCUCACCAAGGCGACGAUCCGUAACUGGUCUGAGAGGAUGAUCAGUCACACUGGAACUGAGACACGGCCCAGACUCCUACGGGAGGCAGCAGUGGGGAAUAUUGGACAAUGGGCGAAAGCCUGAUCCAGCCAUGCCGCGUGUGUGAAGAAGGUCUUCGGAUUGUAAAGCACUUUAAGUUGGGUAGGAAGGGUAGUAACCUAAUACGUUGCUACUUUGACGUUACCGACAGAAUAAGCACCGGCGUAACUUCGUGCCAGCAGCCG